AAUGAACGCUGGCGGCAUGCCUAACACAUGCAAGUCGAACGAAAAAUAAAGACGCAAGUUUUAUUUUUAGUGGCAAACGGGUGAGUAACACGUGAGAAUCUGCCUUUCGGAGGGGGAUAACUAAGGGAAACUUUAGCUAAUACCGCAUACGCUUAGCAAUAAGGAAAAAUUUAUUGCCGAAAGAUGAGCUCGCGUCAGAUUAGGUAGUUGGUAAGGUAAUGGCUUACCAAGCCUGUGAUCUGUAGCUGGUCUGAGAGGAUGAUCAGCCACACUGGGAUUGAGAUACGGCCCAG
This 293-nucleotide ribosomal RNA is filed under the name uncultured bacterium. RNAcentral's name for it is "partial 16S ribosomal RNA". It matches the Rfam family "Bacterial small subunit ribosomal RNA", at positions 29 to 334 of the family's 1533-position model. The record is from RNAcentral.